This 786-nucleotide long non-coding RNA is filed under the name Salmo salar (Atlantic salmon). RNAcentral describes it as "lncRNA (ENSSSAG00000120891.1)". Lineage: Eukaryota; Metazoa; Chordata; Actinopteri; Salmoniformes; Salmonidae. The record is from RNAcentral.
UCAAUUGUAGUUGUAGCAGGUGCUGCAGUGGUUGUCGAAGUAGGUGCUGCAGUUGUAGGAGCUACGGUUGUCGUUGUUGGUGCUGCAGUUGUGGUUGUUGUAGGAGCUGCAUUUGUAGUUGUCGUCGUAGGUGCUGCAGUUGUAGGUGUUGUAGUUGUCGUAGUAGGUUCUUUUGUUGUGGUUGUCGUUGGAGCUUCAGUUGUAAUGGUCGUAAUAGGUGCUGCACUUGUGGUUAUCGGAGGAGCUUAAGUUGCGUGUGCUGCAGUCGUAGUGGUUGUAAGAGCUUCAGUUGUUGUAGUAGGAGCUGAAGUUAUUGUCGAAGUAGCUGCUGACGUUGUAGUGGGUGGGGAUAUAUUUGUUGUCGUAGAAGCUACAGUUGUUGUUGUAGGUGCUGCUGUUGUGGUUGUCGUAGGAGCUUCAGUUGUAGUGGUCGUAGGAGCUACAGUUGCUGCUGUAGGUGUUGCAGUGGUUUUAGUAGGUGUUGUAGUUGUUGUAGGAGCUACAGUUGUCAUUGUAGUAGUAGGUACUGCUGUUGUAAUGGUCGUAGUAGGUGUUGUGGUUGUCGAUGGAGCUUCAGUUGUCGUUCUAGGUGCUUCUGUUGUGGUCAUAGGAUAUACAGUUGUUGUAAUAGGAGCUGCAGUUGUCGUUGUCGUAGGAGCUGCAUUUGUAGUUGUCGUAGAAGGUGCUUCAGUUAUAGAAGUCGUAGGAGCUACAGUUGUUGUAGUAGAAGCUGCAGUGGUUGUCGAAUUAGGUGCUGCAGGUGUAGUGGUCCUAGGAGCUACAGUU